RNAcentral lists this ribosomal RNA (238 nucleotides) under uncultured bacterium. RNAcentral's name for it is "partial 16S ribosomal RNA". It matches the Rfam family "Bacterial small subunit ribosomal RNA", at positions 96 to 334 of the family's 1533-position model. The record is from RNAcentral.
CGGCGGACGGGUGAGUAACGCGUGGGUAACCUACCUCAUACAGGGGGAUAACAGUUGGAAACGGCUGCUAAUACCGCAUAAGCGCACGGUACCGCAUGGUACCGUGUGAAAAACUCCGGUGGUAUGAGAUGGACCCGCGUCUGAUUAGCUAGUUGGUGGGGUAACGGCCUACCAAGGCGACGAUCAGUAGCCGACCUGAGAGGGUGACCGGCCACAUUGGGACUGAGACACGGCCCAA